This 71-nucleotide transfer RNA is filed under the name Streptomyces phage Rowa. Its description in RNAcentral is "tRNA-Ile". It matches the Rfam family "tRNA". From Rfam's summary of the family: Transfer RNA (tRNA) molecules are approximately 80 nucleotides in length. The record is from RNAcentral. Lineage: Duplodnaviria; Heunggongvirae; Uroviricota; Caudoviricetes.
UGCCGCAUUAGCUCAGUCAGGUUAGAGCGCCGGUCUGAUACGCCGGAAGUCCUUGGUUCAAAUCCUUGAUG